GAGGAUAUAGCUCAGUGGUAGAGCGCGCACUUAGCAUGCAUGAGGUCCUGGGUUCAAUCCCCAGAACCUCC
RNAcentral lists this transfer RNA (71 nucleotides) under Camelus bactrianus (Bactrian camel). It matches the Rfam family "tRNA". From Rfam's summary of the family: Transfer RNA (tRNA) molecules are approximately 80 nucleotides in length. Lineage: Eukaryota; Metazoa; Chordata; Mammalia; Artiodactyla; Camelidae. RNAcentral also lists the same sequence under 2 other names. The record is from Rfam by way of RNAcentral.